Molecule: ribosomal RNA, 411 nt
Filed under: Clostridiales bacterium oral taxon 075
Lineage: Bacteria; Bacillati; Bacillota; Clostridia; Eubacteriales
Description: bacterial SSU rRNA
Rfam family: Bacterial small subunit ribosomal RNA
Source: RNAcentral
GAUAAACGCUGGCGGUGUACAUAAGACAUGCAAGUCGAACGGGAGAAGACAGGAAGAUUUAUCUACUUGUUGGACACCGUGGCGGGCGGGUGAGUAACACGUAAGCAACCUGCCUAUAAGAGGGGAAUAACAGUGAGAAAUUACUGAUAAUACCGCAUAAGCUGGAGGUAUCGCAUGAUACAUUCAGAAAAGAUUUAUCGCUUAUAGAUGGGCUUGCGUCUGAUUAGCUAGUUGGUGAGAUAACAGCUCACCAAGGCGACGAUCAGUAGCCGGAUUGAGAGGUUGAACGGCCACAUUGGGACUGAGACACGGCCCAGACUCCUACGGGAGGCAGCAGUCGGGAAUAUUGCACAAUGGAGGAAACUCUGAUGCAGUGACACCGCGUAUAGGAAGAAGGUCUUAGGAUUGUAA